GGUGCAUUCCUCCAUUGUCUCCCGAGACAAAUGAAUGCCAACAACAAUUAGUACAUAAUAAGAAAAACAAAUAAUUGCACACUAGCUACUUUCAUAUUCAUGCCCCAUAUGUCACCUAGAUUAGAGAGCGAUAAAACAAAGAGGGAAAUGAUUCUGAAGCAACUUAUUCAUAAACAGUAUAACAAGAGAAGCAGCCCCCAAGCUGACUUCCUUUUAGACUCUGUGCUUCUUUCUUCUUUGUCUUUUUCUUCAUUCAGUAGCCAUAAACCUAUUGCCUUAUUUUGUUCCACAUCACCAUGGCUUCUUCUGUAGUUGAGAAUCUUACUUGUAUUGGUCCUCAUUCAGUUUUAUUCCCAAUAUUGUGGUGAUUACUUUCAGUGCCUAAUAUUUUCAAUGGCAAUUUUGUCAAGAAUGUGCUACUGAAAAAGGGAGGUGCAACACCAUUGCUCACUCCAGAUACAGAAAAGGAGUAGGGAUGGAGUACUUGACCCAAGAUAUCAGGUAGAAAGAUUCCAUUCAGCUUUCUGCCAUCUUUUUAGACUACCUCAUGCCAGUCUCCAGCUUGUGGUAGUUGACUUAUUAUUUGGUAUGAGCCUAUUUCAGUUUUGCAUGUUGCGGAGUUGUCCUGCAGCUUGCUAAUGAAAUACUGUACACAUGAUUCACCAGAUCUUCCCAAGAGGAACCUUCAUGCAUAUAAAUUAAACUCAGCAAAAGUAUUUUUCCUUCCUAUGUCCUUUCUUAUUUGUCACAUUUUACUUACUCUUACCCCUAUAUAAUCAACUACCUUUAACAUUCCUUCUCUGCUCCCCUAACACCCAGCUGGGCAGUAUAUAUGGUUCUUCAAGAAACCCCUUUCUGGCCUUUGUGCUGCAGUAUGCUCACAUACAUCAACCUUCCCCUCUUUUUUUUUUUCAUUUCCCCCUGUCUCUUCCUGUUACCUCCCUGGCUGUGGCACUGGCAGCACCCAGAAACAGAAACCAAAGGCUUCUCCAUACCUUCCUAGGAAAAUUGAAGCAGUGCUUGAGUGGCCACAAUCCCAGCAGAAUGAAAGAAGACAAUUGGGGUUCAUCCUUGAUAGAGUAAAAGGCGCCCCACCAGGAGAUGGGGCUGUCCGGCUAACUGGUUACCAUCAGAAAACUGGUCAGGUGAUUGCCACCAAGGACUCGGGACUGAAUUACUGCACCGAUUCCAUGAGAUCCAAUAUUAAACAUGGCUACUUCGUGUUUGGAGAACAGGAGGUAUAGAAUGGUGCUUUGGCAGGAGAGCAUUAGGCUUGGAGAUGGACUUAGGUUUAUAUCCCAGUCCAGCUGAGAAGUUCACAGAGUGUCCUCAGACAGAUUAUUAUCCUUGCACUGAUUGGAUGGUUACUUAGCACUACCAUUGCUGCAAGCACUAGAAUACUGUACAGUGGUAUCACGGGUUACAGAUG
Podarcis muralis (Common wall lizard) is the source of this 1429-nucleotide non-coding RNA. Lineage: Eukaryota; Metazoa; Chordata; Lepidosauria; Squamata; Lacertidae. The record is from RefSeq and is a predicted model, not a curated record.